AUGCUAGAGUUUGGUCAUAUCACUGCUGCAUACCUUUUCCAUCAACUGCAAGGUGAAAUGCACAAACUUUUGGUAAAUCUAGAAUGUUCUCUGCAAAAAGAUGGGUAUUCAAGCCUGAAAAUCAUUUUCUUUGCAGGAACCUGCACUUCACAAAACCCGGAAACAUACACUCUUGGGAACCCCAUUUUGCCAUCCAGCCUGGCAGCCUACAGCACGCCAACACAGAGGAGCACUGCGGGCACCAGAAACACUGCGGGCACCACGUAUACCACAGGCACCAAGUACACCGCGGGCACCACGGGCACCCAGCUGCCCACUGCCCCCCCUGGCACUUCGGUGACCUCCCGCAGCAGCAUCUAUCACAAGAGCUCAUCGGGUGAAUCACACCUGCUCCCAGUUGUGCUGUCGGCUCUGCUUUUGCUGAUUUUCAUCACUAUCGCUAUUCUCGUCCUUGCCAAAAUAAAGCUUCAAAAGGAGACUGGACAAGAAAGAAGCAUCCUGGGACAUGCAGAAGCUGUGCUGGUUCAGGCUGGUCUAAACCCCGCAAAAAAGCAAAUGGAGGAAACCGGGAGCCCAGCUGAAGCGAACGGAUGCAAGACAGACUCGAGCAAAUGUCGGAUAAUCUAUGCUAUCCUUGGAAGGUUCAGGAGGACCAACUUAUGCGGAUCCUGUGAGGAAAAGAACACUUUUCAGCACAAUUGAUCAAGACUUGAGGAAAAUAAGGCAGAACUCCCAGCUGUCAAACCACUCCAUACAUAAGACCAGAGCUUCUUUAUCAAAAGCUGAGGCAUCGCGAUAAACCCCAAAGCACACAGCACCAUAUUUUCCUUGCUCCCCACUCUGAAGCUGAGUAUCCCAUGCAGCAGGUCCAAAUCUGAAUCACUGCAGGCUGCCCAAACGUCACUUGUUUGUGGUUUGUAGAGAAUUAAACAAGGCAUCUGACCAAGCUACUCCUGUGUGCAGCCCUUAAUGCCUCUUGUAGCAGCUGAGCUUCCUGAUGGGAAGGAAGCUCAGACCAAACCAGUAGUUUUGGUGUGCAUGUUCAGAUUACAUCCCAUGCUGUACACUGCGCUUUGGCUCCUCCAAAAAAGCAAGGUAGGGGUUGUUUGUUCUCUGGAGAAGCCAAAGUGCUUUGGAACCUGUGACUUGGCAGAAGGACAUUUCCUUGUCUGUUAAAGCAAGUAAAUAUAUUUGCGUAAUUCCAUCUUGUUUGGAGACAAUAGAUCAGUUUUACCAGAAACUUCAAGGGCGAAGACAGUGCCUUGCCUAAAGAAACUGUUAAUCCCCACCUGGGACUACCUCUUCUUGCCCGAGAUUCACAAGUGGCUGCAGGUCCCCAUGGGCUGGUUUCUGCCAGGGCUUCUUCCUCUGCCUGCGGCCACACCACCUUCCUUGGUGCUUCUGCACAUCUCGGGGCAACCUGCAGGGCCAGAGCAGCCGGGUGGGGAACCCCCUGGCAUCCAAAAGGGAAAGGUGCCCACAGGAAUGGGAGCUGUAGGAAAGGCAAACACACCUGUGUUUAUCAUGGCCAGUUGCAACUCCAUGCCCAGGAACUCAAACCAGCCAUGCCAGCCGCGGCCAGCGGAGCAGUGGUGGGAAGGACACGGCUUGCAAAGGGACGGGUGUUACUCCUGCCGGGGAGAGUGACCACGGCUGGACCCGACCCCAGACCCCGCAGCGCACCCUGUGUGGGUUCAGGGCACGGCCGCGCUCACCACGGCAGCUCCUGCCCUGCCGCAAUGGCUGAGCCUUCCUGCGGAGGAGCUCAGGCACCCUCGGUGAGAGGAAAGGUGCUUCCAGAUGGCUGUAGGGUCUGACAAGCUGUAGGAUGUCCCAGCCCCAGGUCAGGAUCCCACCUGCUCUCAGCUAGGGCAGGAUUGCCCAGAGGUGCCGUCCUGCUUAAACUCCUCAGCUUUCCCUAUGAGUAGAGGAGAAAAGCUUCAUGUGACCCCCCAAGUUAAAUGAAAUUACUGCUUGUGAAUCAUUAGUACAAGGUAAAGCAGGUUAACGAUUCAUCCUACA
This 2022-nucleotide long non-coding RNA is filed under the name Anas platyrhynchos (mallard). Its description in RNAcentral is "lncRNA (ENSAPLG00020011430.1)". The record is from RNAcentral. Lineage: Eukaryota; Metazoa; Chordata; Aves; Anseriformes; Anatidae.